UUCCUGGUGGUCCAGUGGUUAGGACUUUGGACUUCCACUGCAGAAGGCACAGAUUCAAUUCCUGGGCAGGGAA
This is a non-coding RNA of Bos taurus (domestic cattle), 73 nucleotides long. The record is from Rfam. Lineage: Eukaryota; Metazoa; Chordata; Mammalia; Artiodactyla; Bovidae.